This 146-nucleotide ribosomal RNA is filed under the name Petrophora chlorosata. RNAcentral's name for it is "partial large subunit ribosomal RNA". Lineage: Eukaryota; Metazoa; Arthropoda; Insecta; Lepidoptera; Geometridae. The record is from RNAcentral.
AAUUAAUUUUAAUGAAAUAAAUUAUAAAUAUUAAUUUAAAAUUUAAUUAAUUAUUUUAUUUGGGGUGAUAAAAAAAUAUAUUUAACUUUUUUUUUAAUUUAACCUUAAUAAUUGAAUAUAAUGAUCCCUAUUUUAUGAUUAUUAAA